CCUACGGUAGGCAGCAGUGAGGAAUAUUUGUCCAUGGGCGCGAGCCUGAACCAGCCCAGUAGCGUGAAGGAUGCCUGCCCUACGGGUUGUAAACUUCUUUUAUAAAGGAAUAAAGUGAGGCACGUGUGCCUUUUUGUAUGUACUUUAUGAAUAAGGAUCUGCUAACUCCGUGCCAGCAGCCGCGUUAAUACGGAGGAUCCGAGCGUUAUCCGGAUUUAUUGGGUUCAAUGGGAGCGUAGAUGGGUUGUUAAGUCAGUUGUGAAAGUUUGCGGCUCAACCGUAAAAUUGCAAUUGAUACUGGCAGCCUUGAGUACAGUUGAGGUAGGCGGAAUUCGUGGUGGAGCGGUGAAAUGCUUAGAUAUCACGAAGAACUCCGAUUGCGAAGGCAGCCUACUAAACUGCCACUGACAUUGAUGCUCGAAAGUGUGGGUAUCAAACAGGAUUAGAUACCCCUGUAGUC
This 460-nucleotide ribosomal RNA is filed under the name uncultured bacterium. Its description in RNAcentral is "partial 16S ribosomal RNA". It matches the Rfam family "Bacterial small subunit ribosomal RNA", at positions 338 to 795 of the family's 1533-position model. The record is from RNAcentral.